Molecule: ribosomal RNA, 484 nt
Filed under: uncultured bacterium
Lineage: Bacteria
Description: partial 16S ribosomal RNA
Rfam family: Bacterial small subunit ribosomal RNA
Source: RNAcentral
AUUGAACGCUGGCGGCAGGCCUAACACAUGCAAGUCGAGCGGAUGAAGGGAGCUUGCUCCUGGAUUCAGCGGCGGACGGGUGAGUAAUGCCUAGGAAUCUGCCUGGUAGUGGGGGAUAACGUCCGGAAACGGGCGCUAAUACCGCAUACGUCCUUAGGGAGAAAGUGGGGGAUCUUCGGACCUCACGCUAUCAGAUGAGCCUAGGUCGGAUUAGCUAGUUGGUGGGGUAAAGGCCUACCAAGGCGACGAUCCGUAACUGGUCUGAGAGGAUGAUCAGUCACACUGGAACUGAGACACGGUCCAGACUCCUACGGGAGGCAGCAGUGGGGAAUAUUGGACAAUGGGCGAAAGCCUGAUCCAGCCAUGCCGCGUGUGUGAAGAAGGUCUUCGGAUUGUAAAGCACUUUAAGUUGGGAGGAAGGGAAGUAAGUUAAUCCCUUGAUGUUUUGACGUUACCAACAGAAUAAGCAACGGCUAACUUCGUG